This 725-nucleotide long non-coding RNA is filed under the name Rattus norvegicus (Norway rat). RNAcentral describes it as "long non-coding RNA NONRATT011772". Lineage: Eukaryota; Metazoa; Chordata; Mammalia; Rodentia; Muridae. The record is from RNAcentral.
CCAGCAAUUAUCUUCAUUUGAUGGAUAAUGGAGCUGUCUCUGGCAAGACUGCGAGAACUAAAGCUGGGUUGUGGGUGAAGGGGCCACAUGGCUGACAAGGAGUGGGGCCCCCUUUGGGAAGACACUGUCCAAAGGCGUUGCUUGAGUGAUUCCCUCCUAAACUACUGAUCUGAGAGAACCAAGCCUUGGUUGCUCUUCUCCAUCAGAAAAGAAACUCACUGUAUUUAUUGGAUGUAUCAAACCAUGCACUGUGAGGGUGUAAGACCCAUACCUGGCAGAGCCUUGGCUGGAGGGAACACCUCCUCCCUUAGGAAGAGACUGGAAGCUGGCCUUCCCCCUCCAAGAACAAAGGAGUGUACUUAUAUUUAUGCAAAGGCAACACUGAGCCACGGCCACAGGCUGCUCUGUGGGGACCUUGGGAAAGGAGGCUAUUCCACUCCUACGUGUCUCUCAGAGAUGGAAAAUGACACAGUUGUUUGAAGCGGUGACCCAUUGUAAGUAUGGCCACCUUGUCAUACUGCUAAAUUGCCAAAUUAUUUAUGAAGUUGAUGUUUGGGUUCUAUUUUUAUAAUAUAGUUCUAGAUUUAUGGCAAUAUGUACAUCUUAAUUUAUAGUUCUGUGCUUUAAAGAAAUCCAUGUAUGAAUAAAGAGCAGAAUAUUGAAAGCAUUCCAUUCAAGAUAUUUAAGGACCUGUAAGUCUGUAUUCAAUAAAAUGCAAUGCCAAG